Molecule: long non-coding RNA, 3102 nt
Filed under: Mus musculus (house mouse)
Lineage: Eukaryota; Metazoa; Chordata; Mammalia; Rodentia; Muridae
Description: long non-coding RNA chr1:120868995-120872097
Source: RNAcentral
GGCAUGUCCGCUUGGUUUCUUUGCACACACAUUUCAUUCUCACGCCUGAUGUCUCUGCCCGAGUGUCUCUUGUGUGCCUGGAGUCAUUGCUGGAGAAAAUCUGAUUGACUAGUAAGCAUUUUUUACCUGCCUCUGGGUCUGUUUGACAAGCAGGGACAGGUAUGUUGUCCACUGUGCUGCGUCUGCUGUCCUGAGCCUGCUUUGGGGCCAUAUCACAGAGACGAAAUAAGUAAAGCAAGCAGGAGAGCUCUUCAGUGCAAGCGAGCUCAAGUAAGAGAUUUAUAGAAAGAAGCCAAGACUGUAGCAUCCCCAAGGAGAGGGAUGAGGAUUAUCGUUGAAUUGGUCAGGUCUUUGCCUUGCAAACAUGACUAGAGUUCAUCUCCAUAGCCAUUGUCGAAAAGCCAGGCAUCAUGACAAGUGCUUAUAGUACCAACUCUGGAGAGGUGCAGACAGAAGAUCUCAGUGGUCAACAGGCCGGCUAGAUUGAUGACUUCUACACCAAAGAGAGAGUGCUUCAAAAAUCAAGGUAGUUGAUACCUGGGGAAUGGUAACUGCAUAUAAAUAUAUAUGCACACAUGUACAUGCAUGCACACACACAAGUGUACCUGCACACAAGUAACACACACACACAACUCAAAGACAAUAAUCCUAAGCACCAGUUUGACACUCAUUCUAUAUUCCCUCAUAUCAAAGAACUUGAAUAAAUGACAAAUGACUUCAGGCUCCACAUAGCAGAGUUUUUCAUUUCUGGAAUAUCUAUGUGUUUACAAAGCCCUUUCAAAAACAUUGUCACCAGAAAGUAAUCACCACAGUGGCAAGUUUGGCCUGGUGUUUAUUAUUUGUUUAGUGCCCUUGGCUCCUCUGAUGGUGUCUGAUACAUAGAACAUCAUCUUUGAUACAUAUUUGGCUAGAUACAGAAAUGAAGGCAUUGGCUCAUGAGGGCUGAUGUUUAUAUUAGUUAUUUUUCUGUGCUGUGAUGAAAUACCAUGACCAAAAGCAAGUUACUGAAGAGUUAGCUUGCUUCAAGGUUCCAGAGGGAAUCUGUAAUGCGGGUAAGAUGUGGCAGCAGGUAGCAGGAAAUUUGCAUACAGGAAACAGAGAACAGGCAAGAAGUAGGACCAGGUUAUGCACCCUCAAAACCUGCAUCUCUUCUUCCAGAAUGUCUUCUUUCAGCUAGGAUCCAUUUUCUAAAGAUUAUAUAACCUCACCAUCAGCAGUACUAGUUGGCCACCAUUUUUUUCUACCUAUUUGAACCCAAUGGGGACAUUUCUCAUUCAAACCACACCAUUUUAUGUUCAUGUUACAGAUCAUGACAACUAAGGUUCAGAUACAGUGGUGACCUAACUGCACUACAGCCACAAAACCAUCUUGAGCUCAGGUGCCCUGAGUCUUGUGUAAGGGUUUUGUGAGAUUAGCUUUCUACUUUGAGUGGAUCUCUUUGUCUAAAAGUUGGUGGCCUUCUCACCAGAAACUGAGCAUGUGUCUGUGCAUCUCUGGUCUUUCUCAGCUGCUUAUCUCAGUAGAGUCAGACUCAGGGAAGCAGAAUGGUCCAGAUGACAAGAAUGUAGUUUUGUGUGUUUGUGUGUCUACCGUAUGGCAUAUCUCUUUUCCUUUUGUAUUUAUAACUUUUCAUGUUGUUGUUGACCAAACAUCCUUUAAAAGCAGCUUAAACAAAGGAGGGUUUCUUUUGGCUCACAGUUCAAGAGUACAGUCUAUCAUGAUGAGGAAGUUGUGGAUGCAAGGGCAUUGUCAUAUCAUGUCACAUCCAGUCAGGUGGCAGAGAGCAGAGAAUGCUUGUUCUCAGAGGACUUUCUUUGCUUUGUUCAGUCUGAGACACCAGCCUCUGUCACGGUGCUGGCCCAUCAGGGUGGGUCUUUAUUGCUCUAUUAAGUUAUGGAAAUACCCUCAUAGAUGUACUCAGAGGAGUGUUUCCAUGGUGAUAUUAAAAACCAUAAAGCUGAUGAUGAAGAUUAAGCACCACAUCUUCUGUGGGUUCCUCAGGUCUCUGCAAUACUUCCACUACAUGGAUGCCCUCUCUUUGUCCCUCACCCCUUUCUUGCCUCAGAUGAGACCAAAGCUAUGUUGAGUGGCCAGGAACAUUCUAGCAUCAGCAGCUUCUCACACUUCCUUUCUCAGGGUUACUUGCUGUUUUAGAGCAUCCUCAACAGAGAAAACCAUUCAGAAGUGUGAUGGCUGAAUUUCAGGCCCUGAAAUAAGAGCUAAUCUUGGAGUAAAAGAGUCAUGUGAGUGAGGACCGUGAGGACCGUGUGUGUGUGUGUGUGUGUGUGUGUGUGUGUGUGUGUGGUGUACAUGUGGAGGCCAGAAGUUGUUGCUGACUGUAUUCCUCAAUGAGUUACCACCUUGUUUAUUGAGGGAGAAUCUCUCACUGGCCUGAAACAUUUUGAUUCUGCUAGCCUGGCUGCCCACAAGACCCAAGGAUCUUCCUAUGCCAAUCCUUCCAGUGAUGAGAUUUAACUUAGGCACAGCCCCAUCUGGAUUUUGUACCCUGGUGAGUUCUGGCAAUGGAAAUCCAGUGCUCAUGCUUGCACAUAAAGCACUUCAAUGGUACAGCCAGCUCCCCAAAACUAUAUGGGGGACUUAUAGUAGCCUAAGAACAAUGGCCACAGACCAUGCCAUAUUAUGUCCUACACAAGCAGCCCAGUCUGCUGUUGGCAGCUCAGAGGAGGGCCAUUCCUUCAACUCUACCGGACCUCACCUCAUUUCCGUAUAACAAGACCCAAUGCACUGUCGUAUUUUCACAGCAUCCCCCAAAGGCUUACAAAUGGCUUGGCUGGGGUAGCAAUGUUGUGUUUCUAUAUAGCAAACAGAAAUGAUAAAGACAAAUAUUCUCUACUGGACGGUGGUGUGGUAGCUCAGUUAUAGAGAACUUGCCUAGCGUUCACGAGGCCUGGAAUUCAAUCCCCAGCAUCUCACAAACCAAGUGUUCCUGUAAGACCUGCAUUGGGGAGGUAGAGGCAGGAGGAUCAAGAGUUCAAGGCCAUUCUCAGAUAUAGAGAAAAUUUGAGGCCAGCUUGGGCUAUAAGAAACCCAAUCAACAAAGAAAGAAAGAAAGAAAGAAAGAAAGAAAGAAAGAAAGAGAGA